AGGAAUGUAUGGCGAAAGCUGGUUGCAUCUAAAAAGGUGCAAGAUUGAUUCUAUUGAAUAAAGUUCUAGAUAGGUUAUGAUGAUGACAUUUCCUGUCUAUGUGUCUUGACUAAAUUACGUGCCAGCAGUCGCGGUAAUACGUAGAAGACUAGUGUUAUUCAUCUUUAAUAGGUUUAAAGGGUACCUAGACGGUAAAUCAAGUCCAAAAAGGGUACUAAUUUGCUAGAGUUUAAUGUGAGGGGGCACUAAAGUACUGAUAAGUGUAGAGAUGAAAUUCUGUGAUACAAUAUAAGGACAGGUAAAGGCGAAAGCAUCUCAUUAUGUAAUAACUGACGUUGAGGGACGAAGGCUAGGAGAAGCAAAAAGGAUUAGAUACCCAAGUAGUCUUAGCAGAAAAUUAUGAAUGUCAUAGGAUGGAGAUAGUGGAUAACAAUUUUUUUUCUAUAAAUGAAAGUGUAAGCAUUCCACCUCGAGAGUAAUUUGGCAACAUUGGAACUGAAAUCAUUAGACCGUUUCUGAAACAAGUAGUGAAGUAUGUUGUUUAAUUUGAUGGUCCGCAAAAAACCUUACCACAAUUUGAAUAGGAGUUUUUAUUUUAUACAAGCGCUGCACGGUUGUCUCCAGUUAAUGUCGUGAGAUCUUGGUUAGUUCCAUUAAAUUAACGUAAACCCUUACUUUAUUUAUAUAUAGAGUAGUUCACCG
This 702-nucleotide ribosomal RNA is filed under the name Physcia aipolia. Its description in RNAcentral is "SSU rRNA". It matches the Rfam family "Bacterial small subunit ribosomal RNA", at positions 357 to 1140 of the family's 1533-position model. Lineage: Eukaryota; Fungi; Ascomycota; Lecanoromycetes; Caliciales; Physciaceae. The record is from RNAcentral.